This 338-nucleotide ribosomal RNA is filed under the name Ferdauia ferdau (blue trevally). RNAcentral's name for it is "partial large subunit ribosomal RNA". The record is from RNAcentral. Lineage: Eukaryota; Metazoa; Chordata; Actinopteri; Carangiformes; Carangidae.
UAGACACUAAGACAGACCAUGUUAAACAACCCACGCAUAACGACCCGAACUUAAUGGCCACCUGUCCUAAUGUCUUCGGUUGGGGCGACCAUGGGGUAGCACAAAACCCCCAUGCGGAACAGGAGGACAACCCAACAUUUUUUCCUCUCCUCCCACAAGCGAGAGCCACAACUCUAACUAACAGAAUAUCUGACCUUACAUGAUCCGGCCUCGGCCGAUCAACGGACCAAGUUACCCUAGGGAUAACAGCGCAAUCCCCUUCUAGAGCCCAUAUCGACAAGGGGGUUUACGACCUCRAUGUUGGAUCAGGACAUCCUAAUGGUGCAGCCGCUAUUAAG